AUUUUUCUUCUGUUAUUCCGUGAAUAGACAGUGUUAAAUACAUAGAUAAGAUCAAAGCUAAACUAUAUGAUACAAAUAGCAACAUCUAAUCAUCAAAUUACCCAAUAAUCGGAAAUAAUAAAUGGAAAAUUUUGAUGCAGGCAAAUAUUUCUCGGGAAGUCUACGUGGGACCCGGCACCGUUUCCCACUCUAUCAGUCCAGCUAACAUUUCCCGACCUGUUUCGUGUCUCGUUGGCACUCUCUGAACCAUA
Molecule: unclassified non-coding RNA, 251 nt
Filed under: Hevea brasiliensis (rubber tree)
Lineage: Eukaryota; Viridiplantae; Streptophyta; Magnoliopsida; Malpighiales; Euphorbiaceae
Source: RNAcentral